AAUUUUUUGUGAAGCAAACUAAACAAGGCCUCAGUCUCUGUCUAUGUCUCUCUCUCCCCGAUCUUUGUGUCUCUGAUCUGUCUCCCUCCUCACUCUCUCAUCUCACAGUCUCUCACUGUCUGGGUUUGCAUCUACACCGAUCGACUCUCUCUCAUCGCAAAAUCGACCGAUCGAUUGACCCUCUCAUCGCACCGAUCGACCUCACAAGUGUUGUUUUACGAGGAUGGUUGCUUGAAAUUCUGUUAAGGAUUGCUUCGUAAGUCAUGGGUUGUAAAGUAAUACAAAAAUAGAAAGUCAAAUAGGUUUAUAACUGAAUUGUGUUGAUACACCUUUUCCAUCAAAAUGGUGGAUGAGAAUGGGCUUGAGCUUAGCUUAGGUCUAUCUUUGUGUUGUUCAUCUGCCAAGUCUAAUGAUAAAAAUGAUAGCUCUUCAAAUACUAGGACAUUCGAAGGUGACAGAAGCAACAAAUUGAUCAACGAUUUCAAAAACCUUCUUGAGGGUGGCAAUCUGAAACAGGAAUUUGGCACUGGUUCUCAGAGAAAUGAUCCAAUAAAACCUAAUGAUUUUUUGAAUGCUGCUGUCAAUGUGGAUGCUUCUAAAAGCUUGAAUGGUAAAGGAACUUGGGUUUCAAAUGUUAACAAGGGUGCCGAAGUUGAAGAGGAAAAGAGGCAUGAGGCUGGUGACAAGCGAAAAAAUUUGUUCGAUGAGAUAAACAAUCAAAAGAAGCUUGAGAGAGAAUCUCAUAUUGCUGAUUUACAUGACAAGCCAAGACCAUCACACAUUUCCAUAACCACAGAUGAUGGCUCAACUGCUGAAAAUGAAGAUGUUGCGGAUUCUGAAGUCGAAGGUUCGACCUCAAGGCUGAUUCCACACCACGGUGAUGGUACAAAAAAGUACAUUGGGGAUGCUAUUCAAACAACUAAUAAUUCUAGUGUAGUGGACUUACAAGGGCAAAAAAGGUUUACCAUUUCAUCUGAAAAGGAAUUUAAGGAUGGAAAUAUGCCAUAUGGUGUUCCCUUCCCACCUCAAUUGGUAAAUAUCAUGAAUAUGCCUUACCCAUUAGAUGUGAAGGAGUCUAGUUCUUUUGGGGUACCCGGCACAUCAAACUAUCCACAAACGGGUAAGGUGCAAGCGAUGGCUGCUGCAAAUAGCAAGCGACCUGGGACCCAACCUGUGAUGCCUGGAAAUUUUCCAGGGAUGUUUGGAUAUUCUCCUGUCCAACUUCCAGUGUCGGACAAAGAUGACUCCUGGGGUUUGGCUUCUCAUCCUCAGCAGCUGCAUCCUCCCUUUGUUGGCAGGCUUCCACCAAGCUCAGAUAAACACAAUGAUGGGCUGAAGAUAUCUCAAGGUUCCUUUUCUCAGACAGAAGAUGGUGUGAAGGGAAGCAAUAUGAUCUUUGGGACAAAAGAGGAAUCUGACAAACUGAGAGCAGAAGGUUUUCCUUAUGAACUUUCAGCAAUAAGGCCCGGUAUUGCUGCGGAGCUGAAAUUUGGGGGAUGUGGUUCGUCCCCAAAUCUACCAUGGGUUUCUGCAAAGGGUCCUGGCCCAAAUGGUCGGACAAUUUCUGGUGUGACUUUUAGAUUCAGCGCAACCCAAAUCAAGAUUGUUUGUGCUUGCCAUGGGUCCCACAUGUCCCCUGAAGAAUUUGUUCGGCACGCUGGUGAAGAGCAAACCAAUCCCGAUUCUGGCUCCGGUUUAGCGUCGUUGCCAAGUAACAACCCGGCCGCUUCAGCUCUAAACUAAUUCCUUACUUCUAUGUUCAAGUUGAGUUCAUUCCAAAAUUUAGUGUGAGGACAAUCUGGCAGAGAUGGCGUGAAUCAUAUCCGAAAGAUGGGACUAAGGCGGAUGAUGCUAUAAUUGUGUUUACGGGAGUUCCAACUAUGUAUACUCGAUUGAUACAAGGUUAUGAAGCAAUGGAUCCAGAAUUACAAGAGGCUUCUGCCUCAGCUGCGAGCAAGUUGCGCUGCAUGGUAAUCAGCUUGCAACACCUUUCUCAGGAAAUUUUGACCAAAAUCCAAUAUCCAAGACUACUGUGUGUGGAGAGGGGUAACAUGUGACAAUGUCACCUUCAAUGUCAUUGCACUCAAUCUCUCAGGUUUAAAUCUUGAUGGGGAAAUCUCACCUGCGAUUGGCGACCUUAAAAGUCUGCUCUCUAUGUAUAAUUUCUUCACUUUGAUGUGAGAGGAAAUCACCUCUCAGGACAGAUCCCUGAUGAAAUUGGUGACUGCUCCUCUUUGAAAAGCUUGGACUUAUCAUUCAAUGAGUUAUAUGGGGACAUACCAUUUUCAGUUUCAAAGUUGAAACAACUAGAACACCUAAUUUUGAAAAACAAUCAGUUAAUUGGUCCAAUUCCCUCAACCUUGUCCCAAAUUCCAAAUUUAAAACUCUU
Camellia sinensis is the source of this 2389-nucleotide non-coding RNA. The record is from RefSeq and is a predicted model, not a curated record. Lineage: Eukaryota; Viridiplantae; Streptophyta; Magnoliopsida; Ericales; Theaceae.